Molecule: long non-coding RNA, 3701 nt
Filed under: Marmota monax (woodchuck)
Lineage: Eukaryota; Metazoa; Chordata; Mammalia; Rodentia; Sciuridae
Source: RNAcentral
UCUGCCCAUCCCUUCCCGCAGGGAUGAAGUGGUGUGCCAUCACCUGAGAAGAAAAGAAGACAAAUGCUUCUCUGCAGUUCUGAUUCAAAGAACUGGGUCCUCUGGAAAGGAUGGGCUUUUACUCCUGCUGUGCAGAUGUGUCUGGGAAGUCAGGCCAGAGCUAGUGCCAAAAGGGAGCUGCCCCUCCUUGUGCCUGGGUGUACCAGUGUGUGGGUGGCCUGGGGCAAGCUGACUCGGGGCCUGAGUCCCUGAGCAGGACCCCUGGCCACUUGUAAGAAGAGUAUGUAAUUAAACAAGCUUAACAGCCCCCACCCCAAGCCUUCGUCCCACAGCCCUGGAGGACAGACUGUCCGGCAUCCUCUGCGGCACAGUGGCCUCCCAUUCCUGCGGCUGUGGGCUGCUCCGACCACGCUUGCUCACCCAAGGCCCUGCUUGGAUACAAACAAGCCGGCCUUUGAUGACAGGAAGGGAGUGGAGCCUCCCUCGGGCGUCCGGGUUUUAAUCUCGGUUCUGGGGGACAUUACCUCCCUCUUUGUGAAUUACUGAUUGCUUUCAAAAUACCGGGAAUUAUUCUUUUACCUUACAGGGUUAUUGUGCGCUAUGAUUAAUUUAGCGGAGGCUCUUAGAAAACAGUAAAAGCUGAAUGGCCUUAUUAGUUGUCAGUUUUUAAAAACGGCACUUUAGCAUCCCUGGGCAGCUGGUUUGAUGAGAAGUGCUACUUACUGUGACCCUCCUGCAUGGCCCUUCUUCACUGAAUCUCCCGGGCCUUUUAGUUCCUUUGAUGAAAAUGCACUGCUUCCGAAUGAAUCCAAUAAACAUUAAGCAGGGAUGACAAUUUUAUCUUUGGAAAAAAAAAAAAAGCAAGCCGAGUUUCUAACAAGGAAGAAGAAAUAAUUUCAUGCUAAUUAGCAGGGUGAGACACAGCCUGCCUUUUGGAGAUAGAAAGGACAAAGGUUUGGAUUUAAAGUUGAACUAAAAAGCAUCUGCCUUAAGAAAACUCAAUAUGAAGAAGCCGCUCACAGCAAGGGACCCCACUCCAGCCGUUGGUGUCCCUUCCCCUUCCCCCUUUUGCCUUUUCCCACCCAUUCUUUCAUGCCAAACAGCACAGACAAGAGAACAAGUCUUUGUAAGUCGCACUUGUACAUCUUGGAUGGUGAGAAAGGCCUGGAUUAUGGAUGCAGGGGACAGUCUGGCCAUGGGACGAGCCUCGCCCAGCGCUGUGGAUUCCACAUUCUUUCCCUGGAGGGGAACAGUCACAUUUGCCACAUUGCCUGCAAGCUUGUGCUGCCAGCCAGGUGGUCAGCAAGUGCCCGGAGCACAGGGCUCUCCUGAAACCUGCCCAGUUUCUGCCUGUCUCCAGGGAUACACCAAGAGGUGCCGAGCACAUCUUGUUUGGCAGUUUUAAAAUUGCUCUGUACAUGUGUUUUUAAUUUUUAUUUAAUAAAGGAACAAAUGCUUUCUAACAAAAGACCAACUGGCGAUUAACAUCAGUUCCGUGGAUGGCGGAGGAACUCGAAUAAAACUGAUAUCCAUCUUUACGAGGGAAGCCCACAGCUGCCAGCUCUCCCAGAACUCUGCUGCUCUGAAGCUGGUCUCUCCACUUUCCCGGGGCCUGCCUUGUUUCCGCCUGGUCAUUCUUUCUAUCUUGCUGACACAAUGGCUCAGCUUUUGUCCUCCUGGUUUUGAUUACCAACUGGUCUUUAUUUUCAAUGUAGUAACUGGCCAAUUAAAUAGAAAUUAGCUACAUUUGGAGGCAGGGCUCCUGACUGGUGCCUCUUCCUUUGGCAAGUGCUCAUUCUUCUUUAGGCUUUUCUGAGAGCAGAAAUCCCAAAGGCAAAGUGCAGCACCACGUGCCAAGGCCCCCAGGGCAGCCGCCACGAGACGAGACGCAGGGUUAAAGCCAAUCGGGAUGGAUGCUCUGCUCCCCAGGAGGAGGGGGAGCAGGGCGGUGCUGGCACUGGAACCACUUCCUGUUGUGAUUUGGUUAAACCCCUUCUGAUUCAAGACAGACUCUCCUACCAGAAGGUCAGGCUAUUUCACCCAAGAAGGGAAAAGAUAAAUAAAUAAAUAAAAUCCUCUUCUGCUCUUCUGUGUCAUUCAGGGCAGCUGGAACACAUCUUUGUUUCCACCCAAACAUUGACCACUGUUGGCCGGGUGAAGGAGGGGCUCCUUCCUGGGCUGGGUGGAGCAUACUGGCUACAUGAGUGAGGUCAGGCCUGUAGCCUAGAUCUACCACAGACAGCCUGUGAUAUGAGGCUGUGGGGCAGGACUGGAUCCAGGGGCUCUGGGUGCUGACCCAGGGCCUAGAUUGUUGAGGCUAACUACUUGAAGCCCGUGUCCAGAGGUGCCAGUUCAGUGCCUGGGGCUCUGAGUACCAACAUGGAGCUGGAGUCCACAGAUGCUGACCCGGCAGUGAGGUGGAUGUAAAGCCUGGGGUGGCAGGGACUGCCCUGAUGUUGAGCCUGGAGCUGGGACAGCAGGGGCUGGGACAGGUGCUAGGGUCCACAGCAAUGUCUCCUUCCCCAUGCAGGGAUUGCCUGGACUUAGGGAAAGGGUGGUAUGCGACAGGUGAGCCUGUCUCUGUCCCACACUCAGGUUUCUUCAUCUUUCGCCUGGAUUCUCAGCUCAUGUGAAGGCAUUCUCAUGUGUGGGAGCUCCUCCAGCCAAUGUUUCGGUGAGGGGAUGAGCACGAGGAAUUCCCAUUACACCAUUGUGCUAUGACAGAGUGCUUUAAAUAUCACAAUGAAUACGUUAAAGACCAGAAUGAAAAUGGUAAAUAAAAUCCAGGAUUAGGUAGCCAAUUUCAGAAAAGAAACAGAAACCUUAAGAAAGAAUCCAAUGGAACUGCUUGAAAUAAACAAAACCAAACACAAAAACAGUGAUAAAGAGUUGUGAUGAGGGGCUAGAGCUGUGGCUUAGAGGUAAAGCACUCGCCUAGCACAUAUAAGGCCCUGGGUUCAAUCCUCAGCACCACAUAAAAAUAAAAUAAAGGUAUUGUGUCCACCUACAACUAAAAAAUAAAUAUUAAAAAAAUUGUGAUGAUUUGGAACUUAACUGUCCUUAAACUCACAUGUUAAAGCAUGGUCCCCAGCUGACAGUGCUGCUGGAGGUGGAAAAAUCUUUAGGAGGUGGGCCUAGGGGGCCAGAACUGAGGUCCUUGGGGGUAUGUCUUUGAAGCUGCUAUGGAGACCUUGGUCCUCCUUUCUCUCGGCGACCAUGAGCCGGCUGCCUGGCUCUCCCAUUUGCUUCCUGCCUGAUGUUCUGCUUCACCAUGGAUCAAAACAAUGAGACCAAGCAGCCAUACACUGAAACAUCAAGCCAAAGUAAAAUUUUCCCCCUUUAAGCCGAUUUUCUCAGGUAUUUUGUCACAGCAGUGGAAAGCCAACAAAAGAACGACUUGGGCAAUUUUGUUAGUAGACUCACAUGGCCAUGGCAAAAAUCAGUGAUUCUGAGGAUAAUCAAUAGAAUUUAACAAAAUUGAAACAUGCAGAAAAGAAUGGGAGAAAAAAAUAGAGGCAAACCUUCCAGAGCUGCAGAACAAUAUUAAACUUUCUAACAUAGGCGUAAUUUGAGUCUUAGAAGUAGAUGAUUGAAACAUAGUUGGUGACUAUGUUUUCCUCUCAUGACCUUUUGGGGACACAUUGAAACCAUAGUACACAGCCAUGCUCAUCAUAAUACUUACACUGCUGAAAGCCACCAAC